Bos taurus (domestic cattle) is the source of this 1368-nucleotide long non-coding RNA. The record is from Ensembl. Lineage: Eukaryota; Metazoa; Chordata; Mammalia; Artiodactyla; Bovidae.
GGGCGGGAGGCACUGCAGCACAGCCCAGCAGCCCCAGAGAGACUUUCAGAGGCUCUGCCCACAGGUACAGAGAGCUGAGCCCCUGUCCCCGAGCACCCCAGCCUCAGUCAGCAGCUUCCUCAUCUCUGCCCAGGACACCUACACCACCUGGCCUCUGAGCCUGGCUGAGCCAGAGAAAUCCACCAUCCAGCCUCUCUACCCUCAUCACUGCCUGGAGGCUAGUCCAUGUGUUCAAAAUCAAUGGCCAUCAUGCUCUCUGCUUCUGCUUGCGACAGGACAAACAGGGAAGAGCAGAAGGAGAAGGAAGAGGGAGAGGAGAGUGGAUUGGGGUUAUCUAUCCCCACCCCUAAUGCCUCCAUGGCCUGACCCAUGGACAGCGUCAACUAGAUGAAGCCUGAAAGCAUCUUUUUCACUGAAGUUUGGCAGACUUUGGGUCAGAUCUUGUUCUAAUACUUACCAGUCAUGUGACGUAGAUGGCCUGAUCUGUGGACAUGCAGCUCACACCUGCUACAGCCAUCUCACUACCCCCAAGGAAAGCAUCUUGAGGAUAAAACCAACUCACAGAGGUUGGGGAAAUGGAGCCAGACUCUGGUGAAUCCAGCCUAAAGUUCACACUGCUUUCUUGAUACCCAAACCAAUAAUGUUCAUUUUUAGAAGUCAGGUUAAAUUGGGUUUUUGUCUACUUGUCUUAAAUUGCAUCUAGUGGAUUGAGACUUUGUUACCAGAAGUGGAAUGUUGACAUAAUUGACCCUAAACAUCAGACAAAGUGUUUACAACACGCCAAAGAGAUGUGCUGGCAAACAACAAAGAUGCUGUCAUCUAGGGCUGCUGUGCACAGCGCCCUACACAGCCCCAGGGCGCAUUCAUCGAAACUGCAUAGCCAUCAGAGACCUGUGGCUUCAUAAGACAGCUUUCUUGCACAUGGCAGUAGAAUGACUUGAAGAAGGGGAGGUUUUUUAAAAAUUGGCACAGUGAUGUCAACUGGGGAAGCAGCGGGCUAUCAUUACCCAAUCUGGCAAACCAUCAGCACUUGUAUGUAACAGCAAGGAGGGUGGCUAAAGUGUUGCCCCAGUCUCCUGGGGUCACAGACCUGUGUGCCCAAUAAGGCUAUGGCAGGUAAGAAAAAUUUAGGAUUCUGGAAUAUACUGACUGCUUCUUGUGGCCUUCAAUAAGACGUGGGGUCUCACAGUACAGAGACAACAUAUGGUUCAAGGUGGCCCUUUGAGAGCAGAAGAAAAAAAGAAAAUAUGGCUCUGCUAUGAGAAGCUGUCAUUGGCACCUGUGGUUUAUAAUCCAAAUUUUCUUGAGAUUAUGGUAAUCUGGAUCCUGGCAGGGAUGGAAAAGUCAUGCUGUGGUGUGUGAGCAAAG